Molecule: ribosomal RNA, 468 nt
Filed under: uncultured bacterium
Lineage: Bacteria
Description: partial 16S ribosomal RNA
Rfam family: Bacterial small subunit ribosomal RNA
Source: RNAcentral
GACGAACGCUGGCGGCGUGCUUAACACAUGCAAGUCGAACGGAAAGGCCCUGCUUUUGUGGGGUGCUCGAGUGGCGAACGGGUGAGUAACACGUGAGUAACCUGCCCUUGACUUUGGGAUAACUUCAGGAAACUGGGGCUAAUACCGGAUAGGAGCUCCUGCUGCAUGGUGGGGGUUGGAAAGUUUCGGCGGUUGGGGAUGGACUCGCGGCUUAUCAGCUUGUUGGUGGGGUAGUGGCUUACCAAGGCUUUGACGGGUAGCCGGCCUGAGAGGGUGACCGGCCACAUUGGGACUGAGAGACGGCGCAGACUCCUACGGGAGGCAGCAGUGGGGAGUAUUGCACAAUGGGCGGAAGCCUGAUGCAGCAACGCCGCGUGCGGGAUGACGGCCUUCGGGUUGUAAACCGCUUUCGCAUGUGACGAAGCGUGAGUGACGGUAAUGGGUAAAGAAGCACCGGCUAACUACGUG